RNAcentral lists this transfer RNA (73 nucleotides) under Perkinsus olseni. RNAcentral describes it as "tRNA-Val". It matches the Rfam family "tRNA". Rfam says of the family: Transfer RNA (tRNA) molecules are approximately 80 nucleotides in length. Their secondary structure includes four short double-helical elements and three loops (D, anti-codon, and T loops). Further hydrogen bonds mediate the characteristic L-shaped molecular structure. tRNAs have two regions of fundamental functional importance: the anti-codon, which is responsible for specific mRNA codon recognition, and the 3' end, to which the tRNAs corresponding amino acid is attached (by aminoacyl-tRNA synthetases). tRNAs cope with the degeneracy of the genetic code in two manners: having more than one tRNA (with a specific anti-codon) for a particular amino acid; and 'wobble' base-pairing, i.e. permitting non-standard base-pairing at the 3rd anti-codon position. The record is from RNAcentral. Lineage: Eukaryota; Perkinsozoa; Perkinsida; Perkinsidae.
GCUGGAAUGGUCUAGUUGGUUAUGACGACUGCCUAACAUGCAGUGGUCCCGAGUUCGAUUCUCGGUUCCAGUA